Molecule: ribosomal RNA, 254 nt
Filed under: uncultured bacterium
Lineage: Bacteria
Description: partial 16S ribosomal RNA
Rfam family: Bacterial small subunit ribosomal RNA
Source: RNAcentral
CACGUAGGGGGCAAGCGUUGUCCGGAUUUAUUGGGCGUAAAGAGCUCGUAGGCGGCUUAGUAAGUCGGGUGUGAAACCUCCAGGCUCAACCUGGAGACGCCACCCGAUACUGCUGUGGCUAGAGUCCUGGAGAGGGUCGUGGAAUUCCCGGUGUAGCGGUGAAAUGCGUAGAGAUCGGGAGGAACACCAGAGGCGAAGGCGGCGACCUGGACAGGUACUGACACUCAACUACGAAAGCGUGGGGAGCAAACAGG